GAUGAACGCUGGCGGCGUGCCUAAUACAUGCAAGUCGAACGCAUUGAGAGAAGUGCUUGCACUUUUCAAUUUGAGUGGCGAACGGGUGAGUAACACGUGGGCAACCUACCUGAUAGCGGGGGAUAACGAGUGGAAACAUUCGCUAAUACCGCAUAACAAUAGAGAAGGCAUCUUCUUUAUUUAAAAGGCGCUUUCAAGCGUCACUAUCAGAUGGGCCCGCGGUGCAUUAGUUAGUUGGGGGGGUGAAGGCCUACCAAGACGAUGAUGCAUAGCCGGGUUGAGAGACUGAUCGGCCACAUUGGGACUGAGACACGGCCCAAACUCCUACGGGAGGCUGCAGUAGGGAAUCUUCCACAAUGGACGAAAGUCUGAUGGAGCAACGCCGCGUGUGUGAUGAAGGCUUUCGGGUCGUAAAGCACUGUUGUAUGGGAAGAAAUGCUAGGCUAGGAAAUGAGCUUAGUUUGACGGUACCAUACCAGAAAGGGACGGCUAAAUACGUGCCAGCCGCCGCGGUAA
RNAcentral lists this ribosomal RNA (516 nucleotides) under uncultured bacterium. Its description in RNAcentral is "partial 16S ribosomal RNA". It matches the Rfam family "Bacterial small subunit ribosomal RNA", at positions 28 to 523 of the family's 1533-position model. The record is from RNAcentral.